GCAGAGACAUGUUUCUGAGACAGCCGACUAUGUGACACUCUGAUUUCACAGCCCUGACUUCCCCACCUGUGGAACGUGUAGGGUUAUUUGCCUAAGAUGCGACCAUGCCAUCCAGGCUUCUCCACACCCUGGCAAGUUUACACAGCAUAUCAGCAAAGGCUCAUCAGUGCCAGAGACUUACUUGGCUUACAUUAAGACCACUUAGGAAAUCUGAAAGUACAACAUGCCACAAUGGCCUGACAAUACAGCAACAUUUACACUCAUUCUUUCCAAGUAUAACAGCUGACAGUUUGAAUAAGCCAGAGAUCCUGGAAAUGAGCCGGAUAACAUCAGACACAAGCAGACUCUUUCCGUUAAAUGCUGUCCAUUGGUUGGACGGCAAAGAACACUGGCCAAGCAUGCACCCCUUUGGGACUCACAGGAGCAUGAUCCACAAACCAAAUCUCUUGUGUUCUAAGUGGUUUAUAAAAGCAGUAAAGAGGCAUCACUCAUCUGUAUCAAAUGAAGCACUUGUUCCCAAACAAGACCUUCCGCAGAUCAAGAGGCCGCUGAGAGCAUCCCGGACCCGGCAGCCAUCCAGGACCAACCUUCCAGAUCUGUCUGUGAAUGAGGACCUGAUGCAGUGCACAGCAUUUGCAACCGCAGAUGAGUAUCACCUGGGAAGUCUGUCUCAAGAGCUGGUCUCCUGUGGCUAUGUGGAAGUGACAAGCCUGCCUAGAGAUGCAGCAAAUAUUUUGGUGAUGGGUGUGGAAAGUUCUGCAAAAGAAGGUGAUCCCGGAACAAUAUUCUUGUUCAGGGAAGGAGCUGCUGUGUUCUGGAAUGUAAAAGAAAAAACUAUGAAGCACGUGAUGCAAGUUCUAGAGAGACACGAAACCCAGCCCUAUGAAGUGGCUCUCGUUCACUGGGAGAACGAAGAACUCAACUACAUAAAGACAGAGGGACAAUCAAAACUGCACAGAGGGGAAAUCAAGCUAAACUCUGAGCUGAACUUGGAUGACGCCAUUCUAGAGAAGUUUGCGUUCUCCAACGCUCUCUGCCUCUCAGUGAAGCUGGCUAUUUGGGAAGCAACCCUGGACAAAUUUAUUGAGUCUAUUCAGUCCAUUCCAGAGGCAUUAAAAGCUGGGAAGAAAGUCAAACUGUCUCAUAAAGAAGUUAUGCAGAAAAUGGGUGAGCUCUUUGCCCUCAGGCACCGAAUAAACCUGAGCUCAGAUUUCUUGAUCACCCCUGACUUCUACUGGGACAGAGCGAACCUGGAAGAGCUUUAUGACAAGACCUGCCAGUUCCUUAGCAUCACGUGAAGAGUUAAGGUCAUGAAUGAAAAACUGCAGCACUGCAUGGAACUAACAGACCUAAUGCGGAAUCACCUCAAUGAGAAGCGAGCACUCCGCUUGGAGUGGAUGAUCGUCAUCCUCAUCACCAUUGAGGUAAUGUUUGAGCUGGGGAGAGUCUUCUUCUGACCUUGUGAUCAUGAAAGCACCACACUGGCAAGAGAGAAGUCAAGUUCUGAACCAGCAAAGCCAGCGUUCACUACUGGUGACUCUUACUCUACCCUCUAAGUCAAGGGGCUGUCAGUGCGCAGGGGACACACCUAGAACCUCAGGAAGCUGAAGCAGGCAGAUCCUGAGGUCCAGAGCAGCCCUGGCUACACAGGGAAACACACUCAUCUCUGCACUGGAAAAGCAGAGGCAGACUGCCCAGUUUGAGGCCAACAAUAACACAGCAGGACUGUCUCAAAAUGAAACACAAAUGACAUAAAAAAAAAA
This is an RNA transcript of Mus musculus (house mouse), 1763 nucleotides long. It is a transcript of the gene named predicted gene 5512, with no coding region annotated. NCBI's taxonomy places the organism in Eukaryota, Metazoa, Chordata, Mammalia, Rodentia, Muridae. The record is from RefSeq and is marked provisional. The transcript has a single exon.